AGUGACCCAGGUCUACCACCGGGAUGUUCAUAACCCUUUGUUGUCCGACUCUGUUGCCUCCGGGGCGACCCUGCCUUCGGGCGGGGGCUCCGGGUGGACACUUCAAACUCUUGCGUAACUUUGCAGUCUGAGUAAACUUAAUUAAUAAAUUAAAACUUUUAACAACGGAUCUCUUGGUUCUGGCAUCGAUGAAGAACGCAGCGAAAUGCGAUAAGUAAUGUGAAUUGCAGAAUUCAGUGAAUCAUCGAAUCUUUGAACGCACAUUGCGCCCCCUGGUAUUCCGGGGGGCAUGCCUGUUCGAGCGUCAUUUCACCACUCAAGCCUCGCUUGGUAUUGGGCAUCGCGGUCCGCCGCGUGCCUCAAAUCGACCGGCUGGGUCUUCUGUCCCCUAAGCGUUGUGGAAACUAUUCGCUAAAGGGUGUUCGGGAGGCUACGCCGUAAAACAACCCCAUUUCUAAGGUUGACCUCGGAUCAGGUAGGGAUACCCGCUGAACUUAAGCAUAUCAAUA
RNAcentral lists this ribosomal RNA (509 nucleotides) under Cladosporium sp. CX-2011a. RNAcentral describes it as "eukaryotic LSU rRNA". The stretch from base 154 to 307 matches the Rfam family "5.8S ribosomal RNA". Lineage: Eukaryota; Fungi; Ascomycota; Dothideomycetes; Cladosporiales; Cladosporiaceae. The record is from RNAcentral.